Cydia fagiglandana is the source of this 2261-nucleotide long non-coding RNA. RefSeq lists it as uncharacterized. The transcript is spliced from 4 exons. The record is from RefSeq and is a predicted model, not a curated record. Lineage: Eukaryota; Metazoa; Arthropoda; Insecta; Lepidoptera; Tortricidae.
AGAAUGUACAGCCCAAUAAUAGGCGUCCAUGGUGGACGCGUAUUAUUGGGCUGUACAUUCCUGGGUUGAGCAUUCUCGGGCCGCGCAAUAUUGGUCCGGGGCGAUAAUACGAAGCCACUCUUUUCACAGGGCAAUAAUGUACGACCCCAUAAUUCGCGUCCAAUAAUUUGAGUCCCUUGGCUUUCAAUUAUUGGGCUGCGCAUUAUUGGUACAGGUCGAGAAAGCCCGACCCAAUAAUGUACGACCCAAUAAUAGGAAGCCAAAAACCAGAGAGAUUCUUUUUUUUAAGGGAGCUGUCAAAAUUAGUAGGGACGUUCUGACAUUAGCUCUUGACAAUUUAAAAAUAAUCGGUUUUUUCUAGUGCCAUCUUUCAGUGACAUUGACAGUAUUGUAUUGACACUUGUUGGUUUACAAAUACAAUAAAAUGAAUUCUAAUAAAAGAAACAGUAGACUCAGUAGAGGUACGAGGUACUGAAAAAAUAUUAAUUAAUGGAGAAGCCGAAGUUGGAGGAAAACAAGAAGAUUCGAGGAGAAUGGUGUGGCACUUAAUGCCGCCGGGACAGUAACCUAGCUGCAGCUCCAACUCUAGGGAAUUGGGCUGAAUGAACGCAACACGUGAUCGACAGCCCACCUGCUUCCUGCCGAGCGUCCCUACACUACAUCUACAUGGAUUCGCUUAUUCUGCUCUACAAAACUUCUAAAACAAUACAAAUAAUACAGGAAGAAGAGAUUAAACAACAGGCGGUCUUAUCGCUAAAAAGCGAUCUCUUCCAGACAACCUUACUACUUUUGAGGAGCUGAUACAAGCAGCCAGAAUGAGUCUCUGCUGAGUCGCCGGCGCCGGACGUGCGUCGCGCGCCUCGGGCGACUGACGUCUUCGUGUGAGUCGCCAAUUGCAGGGGAAGUUACGAAUAGUUAGGUAUAAAAGCUACUUUAGUCAACCUCGCCUCAGUACUGUUUGUAUUGACUGAAAUACAAGUAGCAUAUAUGAGACGUUCGGACGUAUCCGUGAAAAUACGAAGGUAAAGGAAAUUGCACUACAUUUUUAGAACCUAUUCACCUGUCAGUAAAAUAUUGAAAAGGAAAGUUCAUGAGUUUUAUUAUUUUCUUUCCUCCAACAGCUUCACAUGGAGCAAAUGUAAACCUUUUAUGUUAAUAAUAUCAGUAAUGUCAAGGUACAACGCUCUUUAGAGCAUAUUGCCAUUCCUUUUACUCGAGUGGCCUGUGGGUUAACUAUACGAAGCGAGCCUACGAUGCAUUAAAAGUGCAGUAUAACAAUGCAUUCAGAAUGCUGUUGGGCUUACCUCGUAGAUGUAGUGCAUCUGGCAUGUUUUGCGAAGCUAGAAGUUUUCUGGCAAUCAUGCGCAAGAAAAUAGUAUCUCUGCUAGGUCGAGUUAGAAGCAGUCCCAAACAUACAUGUUCGAAAAGUAGAACUCCCUUAGUAGGCCAAGCAAUAAGAAGUUAUGGAGGGAAAUGCUAGGAACACAAUUUUUGACUACGUAACUUUGUUUGGACUAGUUAGGAGGUGAACAUAUCAAAAGUCCCCGGCUGUAGCCCCGGUGCUGGGGGGUAGACUAGUUAUAGUCCAAACAAAGUUACGGAGUCAAAAACUGUGUUCCUAGCAUUUCCCUCUACAACGUUUUUUGAGCAUUCAUUUCCUGACCUAUAGAUCGUGUUUCAAUUUAUCGCCUCUCGUUGGCAAUUAAGGUGGUUCGCUUUCCAUACAAAAAAAACAAUUACAUAAGUACCUAAUAGUGUGUAAUUACUUAAUAUAACGCAAUUGUUUUUUGUAUGGAAAGCGAACCACCUUAACUAUUCGCACAACGUUUUGUAGUUGCAGUAAGUACUUACAUAUGGCCGGUUAAAUUUUCGAAAUAGGUAUGUAUUUACGUACAGUGCUAAUUGCCGCACAUAGAAUAAUUAAAGUUUGAUCAAUCGGAAUAUGUUCCUAAGUCACUUAUUACAUUUCGAAUUAUAAGUCUGUAUUUUACAGCUUUAGAUGUGCAUGACUGCAUAUGCACAUCUAAAGCUGAAAAAUGCUUUCAUGAAAUUAUGGCUAAAUUAUGUUAAUAGGGACAAAUGUAUCAUUUUCAACCAAAUGGGUUCUUAUUAUCUGUUGUCAAUAAGGCGCUAUUUCCAUAAAGCUUCAAUUUGAAAUCAGCCUCGUCGACAACCGACAAUGUUAACCUUUUGGUUGAAAACGUCACAAAUUAUGGCGAUAGAGAAUACAAUGUUCUGUUGUCAGAGUGCAGCACUAGUAA